CACUGACAUCUUUUGUAGCUUUGGGCCUUGUGGUGCAUUCACUGAAGUCAGUAAUUGCCCACUGGGAACUAUUUUUAAUAGUUCUCACGUCCCUGUUUUAUGGUUUACUUUUCAGAGCCUUCGGCACCGGCGGAGGCCCGGGAUCGCGGCAAGGGGAUCGCUUAGCUAGCUAGCGAGGAGCGGUACUUUGCCUAGGUGGUUUACUCUUCCUUUUGUAGUUGAGAGAGUGAG
Molecule: long non-coding RNA, 231 nt
Filed under: Ananas comosus (pineapple)
Lineage: Eukaryota; Viridiplantae; Streptophyta; Magnoliopsida; Poales; Bromeliaceae
Description: long non-coding RNA (ACOM_LNC036889)
Source: RNAcentral